Molecule: transfer RNA, 74 nt
Filed under: Patulibacter sp.
Lineage: Bacteria; Bacillati; Actinomycetota; Thermoleophilia; Solirubrobacterales; Patulibacteraceae
Also listed under: 1 other name
Description: tRNA-Val
Rfam family: tRNA
About the family: Transfer RNA (tRNA) molecules are approximately 80 nucleotides in length. Their secondary structure includes four short double-helical elements and three loops (D, anti-codon, and T loops). Further hydrogen bonds mediate the characteristic L-shaped molecular structure. tRNAs have two regions of fundamental functional importance: the anti-codon, which is responsible for specific mRNA codon recognition, and the 3' end, to which the tRNAs corresponding amino acid is attached (by aminoacyl-tRNA synthetases). tRNAs cope with the degeneracy of the genetic code in two manners: having more than one tRNA (with a specific anti-codon) for a particular amino acid; and 'wobble' base-pairing, i.e. permitting non-standard base-pairing at the 3rd anti-codon position.
Source: RNAcentral
GGGCGCGUAGCUCAGCUGGUCAGAGCAUCCGGUUUACACCCGGGAGGUCGCCCGUUCGAACCGGGCCGCGCCCA